Molecule: ribosomal RNA, 505 nt
Filed under: uncultured bacterium
Lineage: Bacteria
Description: partial 16S ribosomal RNA
Rfam family: Bacterial small subunit ribosomal RNA
Source: RNAcentral
GACGAACGCUGGCGGCGUGCCUAAUACAUGCAAGUAGAACGCACAGUUUAUACCGUAGCUUGCUGCACCAUAGACUGUGAGUUGCGAACGGGUGAGUAACGCGUAGGUAACCUGCCUGGUAGCGGGGGAUAACUAUUGGAAACGAUAGCUAAUACCGCAUAAUAUUAAUUAUUGCAUGAUAAUUAAUUGAAAGGUGCAAUUGCACCACUACCAGAUGGAACUGCGUUGUAUUAGCUAGUAGGUGAGGUAACGGCUCACCUAGGCGACGAUACAUAGCCGACCUGAGAGGGUGAUCGGCCAAACUGGGACGGAGACACGGCCCAGACUCCUGCGGGAGGCAGCAGUAGGGAAUCUUCGGCAAUGGACGAAAGGCUGACCGAGCAACGCCGCGUGAGUGAAGAAGGUUCUCGGAUCGUAAAGCUCUGUUGUAAGAGAAGAUCGGGUGUGAGAGUGGAAAGUUCACACUGUGACGGUAGCGUACCAGAAAGGGACGGCUAACUACGUG